GGUCAUCUUUGGUCCAGCCUUCAGAGCCAGGCCACACCCUGGACUGGUCUCUGAUUAUAUGUUAUUGUGGGCAUCACAAUCCAGCCACUGUCUUGGACAGACCAUCACCUCAUUAAGGCAUUGGUCGGAGCUCUCCCAGUUCCCAGGCAGCAAGACCCAUGAUCCUGAUUUGACCUGGAGACUCUUUAGUCUCCAUAAAACUCCAAAGCAUGCUAACAGACAGCAGCACUCCGCAACAGGACAAGGAGUCAAGGACCUGGUGAAUCAUCACUAUUGUACGCUAGCCUCACUCAUUGACACACUGGCUCUGGGGGUCUCUUCUCCAUAUUGCCCACAUGAUCGCCUUGGUUUUCUAAUGUUCUGCACUGGAUGAAGAAAGAGGACUGGAAACUCAUGUGCCAAUGAUGGUAAAAGAGAGGCUGAAACAGGAAGGUUCAAACAUGGAAACUAUGUUAGUGGCACUGAUGGAUGAUCUCUUGCUGUGAAUGGAUUGUGGAUGGAUAAUGUCAUCCUUUGGGACAAUUCUGCAGCAUUCAAUACUGUUGAUGAUGAGAUACUGCUGUUCUACCAGAGAAAGGUAGCAUGGAUCCAUGGGAAUGUACUAAAAAGUUUUAAGUCUUUCCUGGAGUGAUGCAUCCAAAGAGUAGUGAUAGGAAUCUUUGCCACGAGACCCCUCACUUGUUGAGUCCCAAAAGGAUCAGUUCUCUCUCUAGUCCUCUUCCAUGUUUUCAUGCAAACACCAGGUGAACUGGUCAGAUGACAUGGAAUCAAGUGUCAAGUAAUAUACAGAAGACACACAGAGCUCUACCGAUCCUUCACAACAUUUGACCACAACAUUAUCAUCAAGAAUGCCCAGUGCUUGAACCAGAUUGGUUCAUGGAUGAAGAACAGGUGGUUGAAGCGGAACCUGAGCAAGAUGGAGAUGAUAUUGGUGGGCAGAGGAAAGAACUUAGAUUUUGCAGCUGCAGUGAAGUCUCAUUUGGUUGAAGGCAUACACCCACAAUUGGUCUAUUCAGUCUGUAAAUUAAGAGUGUUUUGUGGAUUCCUUGGAAGCAUCUGCAAAUAACACUUUCUACUAUCUCUGUUCCCAUGGUAAUGGAUGAUGGACUUUGUAACCUCACAGCUGGACUAUACCAAUGCAGUAUAUCUGGGCAUGGAGUCAACAGCUUUAAGGAAACUCCAACUAAUACAGAACUCUGCAGUGGUUUUCCUUGGCAACACAGAUUGCCACAAGCACAUCAAGACUCCUCCAUCCUCUACACUGACUUCCACAGAAUAUUGAGUCAAGUUCAAGGUCUCACCUCUUUUACUUCGGGUUGCUCAAUGGCCUGGUUCAGGGUAUCUAGCAGUUUCCAUACAGCUAUUGAAUGAAGACUAUGAUUGACAUCUCUGCUCCUCAGGCAUUAUGGAACUUUCUACUGUAUGGGUAAAGUUUGUUUGUACAGGAGACAGAACUUUUUUUGAGGUCUGGUCUGAAACUGUGGUCUGAGGUCCUUAGUUCUCGUGGGAGUUAUCCCAAACCUCACCAUCUUUUGCUCUAACUACAAGGUACACUUCUUCAACAUGCCUUCUUUCAUAUAAACACAUAACAGUAUGUAUAUUUAAAGCAAAACUCCACCAAAAGAAAACAUUCUAAUUCUUCCUCUGGGGGAAGAGAAAACACACCACAUGUGACAGAUAUUAGUCAGAUUGCUUAAUGCCAUACUUGAAGCCGCUGAGAUAUCAUGUUGAUGAGGUUGGUCUAAGAACCCAUCUGGAAUGGAAUGGAAUUUUGAAUGUGAAAAGGACAUAAAGCAAAAGUUCGUAGGCCAGAGGGGGAAAACAAGGAAAGAAUUAAGUAAGUAAUAAUUAAAAUUAUGGAGUAAAGUAUGAAAAUAGAAGGAAGAGGGAACAAAAUCUAAGAAAGGAGAGAAAUGAAAGAUGUUGGUAGAAAAAGUAAUGAAAUUUAAAAUACUACAGAAUUAGGGAAAAUACAGAUUAAGGUGUAGGACAGGAAAAGAUGGACAAGAGUAAAACUAAGGAAAGUUAAAUGAGUGAAAAGAGAGAGAUGAACAUACCAGACAUAGGGGCAGCUGAUUAUCGACUGUCUUGCACCUCGUGUAGUCAUUUGCCUCUAUACAAAGUGAGUGUAAAAAGAUUUAGAAUUUGCCACUCAUACUGGUAUAGUGUUUUAAAUCCACUUUUCACUCAUUUUUCACUGCUGUAAAUUACUACACAAGAUACAAGGCAGUGGAGAAUCACACCUGGCAAGUUUCGUUCUGUUUUACAACAUUUUUUAUCUGAUUAAAAUAAUAUUUGCUUACAUACAUUUCUGGUAUGUUGAGUCUGGUUGGUAACAUCAUGAGUUACAUUCUAGCAUUUUAUUGUUCAAUCUUUUAAACUUAAAACUCCUCUUGGUUUUUAUUUUGUCACUGUAGUAGACAUUGUAUGUCACUUUGAAAGAAAAUACGUUUUUGUGAUAUUUUGGAGUGCAUUUUCUUGUUCCUCGUAUUAAGUCUACAGAAUGUACCUGUUUUAUUUGCCCACUUGCCUGCUGCUGGAGGGACAUGCACUGUUCAUCACUGUUUGGCAUCUAUGAAUGCUAAUUCUUGGCAACUGGAGGAGGAACAGGUCUGUACUUGACCAACUCUUUGACUCAUGGUUUACAUUCUUUGUGACGUGAAUUGCUUUUCCUCAACAGCUUUUGUUCGAUUUCUGUGUUGGUAUGACUGUUUGAGUCCUGUGCUGGAAGCCUGUUGUACGCAAUGCGUGAGGCUGCUGCUCACAAGUAUUUUUUUCUGGUCUGCUGGAGAUCUCUUAGAGUAUGUCUUUACUACCAACGUUAAAAGUGCUGCCAUGGCAGCUGUGUAGUAAAAAAACCCACCCCCAUGAUGGGAGUAGCUCCCAGUGCUCUGAGCGCUAUAGCACUGUCUACACUGCCACUUUACAGCGCUGAAACUUGCAUCGCUCAGGGUGUGUUUUUUCACACCCCUAAGCGAGAAAGUUUCGGUGCUGUAAAGUGGCACUGCAGACAAGGCCUUAGUUUCUGCAGCAUUUAAGCUGCCAUUUAAAGGGAGGGGGAGUGGAGGAGAAGGCAUUUCUAGCUCAUGUGGUUGUGAAUGUGACGCAGAUUGUGUGAUUGAUUUUGCAGAUGCGUAGUUGCAAUUAGCUAAGUUAUGUCCUUACUCAGAUGAUCUGAUCUGUAUAUAUUCAGAAUACUAUUUGAUUCUUUUUCUUACAAAAAUAAAAUAUUUCACACUACCCAGCCAGCAUACCUGUGGGAGAGUGCAGUAUGGCUCUGACAUCAUCCGUGGAAUUGUUUACACAGUCUUCAUUAUGGGUGACAAUACAUGAACUAGAAAGAGCAGAGCAUUUACUUCUGAUUUUGAUAAGUUUUCACGUAAAGUUACAAAAAGCCCUCUUUUUUUUUUAGUUGUAGACUGUGCAAAUUUAAUAUGGAAGUUUACUGUGAGAAAGUAAGCAUGGUGCUUCAUAGUGACAAUUUUCCAGAGUAUAAGCAAAAUGUAAGGUUGAGAUACUGUGCUGUCUCCAAGAGGUGCAGCACAGACCUCCCAGUCUAAGGAGAGGGAGUCGGGAACCGUGCUGACAUCGCUUUAAGCCAUCUUCAUGCCCUCCUGAUCUGGGGCUGCUCUGGGAUUGGAGAAGACCCCAGUGUAAUUUAGAUGGUCUUGGGGGCCUGUCUAAAUGAUAGCAGUUGCAGCACUGCCUAGCCAACGUCAGCAGCAAUUUGCGCGGCAGCCCUAUCUCUGUUUUGCCACUCUCAUCCCUACCAUCAUCUUGAGUCUUUUUUUAGGACUUACUUUGGUUAGAUGUUGCGUUGGUCAUGAGUACUAGGUUGGUGCCAUUGACUUUGGUUUUGAGAAAAUGUGCACCCGUCCUUACCCCACAAAUUGACCUAGAUUUUGCGUGCAGUGUUGUUUUAGCCAUCUUGGUCCCAGGAUGUCAGAGAGAGAAGAUGGGUGAGGAAACAUCUUUCACUGGGACAACUUCUGUUGAUGAGAGAAACAAGCGAACAGAUCAUGAGAAAUGGGGAGCACUCCUUAAGAUCUCACACUGACACCUGCAGAGGAAGAGUAGCAUUGUGUUCAAGCACAACAGCACUUUUCCCAUGGCUCCUAUUGUGACUGAAUUUGAGUAAGAUUAUGUAACCAUAGUCAAUUUCACUCUGCAGCAGUGCUGCAGGUAAAGUACAAAUAGGCAAAAGGGUAGCACUAGUCUUUCUCUGUAGAUUUUGUUACUUGAAAAUUUGCAAUUACAGAAAUACUAUUUAAUGAUAUGACAUAUGGAGUGUUAUUACAAACCUUAUCUAUGUGCUUUAAAUUCUGAUAAAUCUUCAUAUGCCUUGAAAUAUUGUGUUUAAUUUCCUCUCUUGGAGAAGAGAAUGAAUUUUAAUAAGCAAGGCAAGCUAUAGCAGCUAUAAAAUUUUUCUAAUAAAAAUGCAAUUUCCAUAGCAUUGAGAAAAUUGGAUUUGUGGUGAUUUUUUUUUCUCUAGCCAAUAUUUUGUGAAAUGAUUUUGGAAAAAGACAGCCAUAUGUUUGCUUAAGCUUUCAAUAGAGACACUCUGUUUCCACUGUUUUGUAGGACUGUGAAAUGCUUCACUGCUUGGGUCCAUCUGCCCAACAUACUGCAAUAUUUGCUUUUCUGUAGCUUACAUAACAUUAGACUCUGUUCCUCCUGAUAGAGAGUAAAUAGCUGUGUGUAGUCUUGCAUGCCUGUUUUCACAUAAUUGUGUAAACCAAAAACUGCGCUUGAGAUGUACAGAGAUACUUAGCAUUCCUUAUUAGCUAAUGCGUAAACAUAAUUAAAAUAGUGGUUUUAAAGGUCUGACUGAAAUAUAUAAAAGGCAGAAAAUGCAAAGUCCAGGCUAAAACUCACUACUUCUGUGUCAAACAGUUGUGGCUGGGUAUUUCAGCUCCUAUGGUAUGUGAAAUCACCCAGUGCUCUGUGAGCCCUUGACAGGAGCCAGCUGUCUCAAAUGCAACAUCUAGACUCAAGGGAAUAAGCUAAAGUCAGAGUGUGAGUCUGUAAGUCCUGGCUCUAGAUUUCUGUCAUUUGUUUAGUUUCCUUUUUAGUUAGUGUUCCUUUUUUUGUUAGUUUCAGGGGGAAGAGAGAGGGCAGGGGACUUUGUGAAGGCUUUAAUAUUUACCAGAUACCUUUGAAAAGCCUUCUCAUGACCCAUUAAGGUCAUGCAGAUCUGCAUAUGGGUGUUUCCAGGUCUGUACCCUUUCAUUUUAAAAAGCAAUUGAAAGGCCUGGAUUAUCUUAAAGCAACAGCAAAAAGCAACAUCUGCAGGAAGAUUAUAAAUGUUAAUAAUUAAAUAGACUAAGUUUAUACCUACUAGAGAACGUUUUAAUACUUUUUGCUGAAGUGUUCUGGGUUAGCUUAAGAUGGCUUCUGUGAAGAUGGAAAAUUUUGGUUGCAGCUGUAGAUAGAAAAAGGAAAUGGUUGGGUGUAAUGAUAUUUAACAAGAAUGUAACUUCCUAUUACUCUGAGUUUUGCAGGCCCAUUGUGUUUCCUGUCAAUAACCUCCUCCCCCAUUCUUUCAAGUGAGGAGCUAGUUAUUGUGUGCAAGAUGAAUAUUAAAAUGCACUUAUGCAUGAAAGUGAAAUACUUGAAGUAGGGCUGCUGAAUUGCCAAAAAUGGGCCGUUCUACACAGGGGAAAGUUUUAAAUAAACUCUGCUGAUGAAAGACUUUUGGUCAACAUUCCCCCAACUUUUGGUCAACCUUCCCCCAAUCACUAAUAAAAUUAUGUAUAACUUA
Gopherus flavomarginatus (Mexican gopher tortoise) is the source of this 5761-nucleotide long non-coding RNA. RefSeq lists it as uncharacterized. The record is from RefSeq and is a predicted model, not a curated record. NCBI's taxonomy places the organism in Eukaryota, Metazoa, Chordata, Testudines, Testudinidae. The transcript has 2 exons.